ACUGAGUAUCUUCGUCUCACAACAUCGAGGCAUACCAGGAUGUUGAUGAUGAUGAUGAUCUUCUUACAGGUAGAGAGAUGAGGAAGGCUAAACUGUCCCGGAGUAGAUCUCUCAGCAGUCAGCCGACGACGUCCAAAGCUGCCAACUCAGACAGACCUCUGAAAGUGAAAGAGCUGAGCAGUAUGUCUGGACCUGGGAAGUCCUCCAUGUUAUCAAGCAAAGAUGACUCCUUAAGGACCGCCCACUUCUCUCUGGUGACCCAGUCCCCCUCCUCCAUGCCAGUUCUGAUCCGUAGCAACACCACUAGCCUCCUGGACAGGGCCAGUACCCUGGACCACAGAACAAGUACCCUGGAUCAGAGAGAUCAUAGAACCAGUAACAUGGACCACAGGAACAAUCUGAUGGAGCAGCGAACAGGUAGCAUGGACCAUAGACCUAGUCCCAUUGACCAGAGAGACCACAGGCCCAGUUCUUUGGACCAGAGAGACCACAGGCCCAGUUCUUUGGACCAGAGAGACCACAGAACCAGUACGUUGGACCAGAGAGACCACAGGCCCAGUUCUUUGGACCAGAGAGACCCCAGAACAAGUACGUUGGACCAGAGAGACCACAGGCCCAGUUCUUUGGACCAGAGAGACCCCAGAACAAGUACGUUGGACCAGAGAGACCACAGGCCGAGUACUUUGGACCAGAGAGACCCCAGAACUUUGGACCAGCGCAGUAAAACGAUGGAGCGAGGCUGCACGGUGAAGGACAGCCAGUCCAGAAAGCUGUCAAUAAACAGGAAGUCAAACUCGUUCAGCGUCCAGUCGGGGCGAGACUGAAGACGAUGAUGUCGUCAUACCUCUGCCCGGCGAUCAGCCAAUCAGCAUUCAGGGUUCUCAAGUCAAUGGACUUCAGAACAUUACCCAGAAUGCAACAGGACAUCAUCUCUCCCUUCAGACAGACGAGUCCGACUUCUCUUUUGCUUUCUGAGCGCUGUGUAAUCACAUGAUCUCAUAAUGUCACCUGAUUGGUUCAGUAAACUCCACCCAAACAAACUGUCGGUGUGUUUUUGAUUUUAAUCUGUAUUGUGAUGUCACUGUGAUGUUUGAUGACAUCAUGUGUCAGAGAGAUGACAGGCACAGAAGUUCACAUUGUAUGUUUAAUGUUUUACACACAGUUAUGUUUAAAUAUUAGUACAUUUACUACAUAGUUUAUAUACAGCACACCUGCUACAAUAGCUAAUGAUGCUAACGUUUACUAAUGAGCCAAUAAUUAGUUAAUAACUGUCUGUCAGAGAACAACAUUUACAUCAGUGUCUCUGACUCAGAGACAUUUACACGGCUACGUUUUCAUUUUUAAGCUGCGUUUUGAGACAGAAACAAUCUCCGUGCACACACGAGUUUUCAGUAGCAAACUAAUCUCAGUAUGGAAAGCCCAGAGUGCCAUCAAACAGCUACAUUUUAAACAUGAUUUACGUUUAAAAACACUGCUUUUAACACCGUUUUAUUCAUCAAAAAACGCUGCUAUUCUCUGCUGGUAUUGUGAGUUUUCACAAAACAGCGUUUUUUACAUUGAAAAAGGUCACAGAAACGGCACUUGCCUCAACGUUUGCCGUGAGGUUUCUGGGGAAAAAACUAAAACUGACAAAAGCACAGAGAAUAUCGGUGUUUUUUGACGAAUGAAACGGUGUAAAAUGUGGUGUUUUUAAAUGUUAUUUUCAUUAAAAUGUAGUCGUUUCGUGGCACUUCUUGGCUUUCCACGUCUCCGUCCAUAUUAAGUCUGAUAACACAGAUCACAUGACCACUCACACACACUGGGCAUGUGCGUGGCGGUGUAAACAGGAAGCAGGUUGUCUGAUGUUACUCUGCGGUUUAAGAUCACGGACGUAAAAGUUGAAAAUAUAGAAAAUACCAUAUUGGCACUUUUCUAGGGUGCCGUAAAAAUGCUGUUGUCCGUCGGGAACCUCAAAGCAAACGCUGAUUUUCCAUUAUAAUACUUUUUGGCAGCACCUAAGCCGAAUAAAUGUAAAAUCAAUGUGAGCUUUAAAGAGCUCAUAUUCUGCUCAUUUUCAGGUUCAUAAUUGUAUUUUGAGGUUGUACCAGAAUAGGUUUACAUGGUUUUAUAUUUUAGUUGUACUGCCCAUUGCUGCAGCUCCUCUUUUCACCCUGUGUUCAGGUCUCUGUUUUAGCUACAGAGUGAGACCUCUCACUGCUGUAACAUCUUUGUUGGCAGUCGCACAUGAUCAGUAGCUAGGUAAGAUCACAUGCUCAGUAGCUAGGUAAGAUCACAUGCUCAGUAGCUAGGUAAGAUCACAUGCUCAGUAGGAUCACAUGAUCAGUAGCUAGGUAAGGACUACAUGAGCUAGCUAGCUGUUUCUCCAACUUCAGUGGUACAAGGCAGGAUUAGCCGGGAGACUUCUUCUAAACGAGGGCGUACUUCCAACUUUGUGUGAAUACCUGCAGAACAGGGACAUGGAAGUAGUUCUUUUGGAAAUUAUGGUGAACUAGUGUGUGUUGUAGCAGUGUUUUGCCAUUGAGAACGAGCUAGCAUAGGGUUAGCAUGCUAACGGUUAGCCCCCUAGCCCCUCGUCUCAGCUAGUGACGUAGAAAGCCGUGCAGAUGUUGACCAGCUCACCCAGAGACUGAAGACAGAAACCGGAUCUCACUCUAAACAGCAUGGAGGGUUUUAUCAAAGUAUGUAUGAAGCACCAGAGACACAAAAUAACUCCCCAAAUCCCAGAAAAAGAGAUUAUUUUCAUAAUAUGGGCACUUUAAAGCUCACUACAUGACACUCAGAUACUCUGAUGACUGUACUUUGUCCCCAGUGGACUUCUUUACUUCCUGUCAACCUGCACAUUGUUUUUCUGGGUCAAAUUUAAAAUUAAAACCAUAAGACCAGUGUUUUUGUCACUUUGUCAUUUUUUGUGUGCUUUUCUUGUUUUUUACCACGUAUUUCAAAAUUUUUCUGAAAUGUUUGUCAUUUUUUCGAUGUUUUUGUCGAUUUCUUUUUCAAAUCUUCUUCAAAGUUGUUUUAUCAACUUUCUUCUUCAAAUGCUAUAAAAUUGACUAAAACACCCAAAUUCAAUGAAAGUAGUGAAUUGAUCAUUUAUUUAACUUGUGAAGAGCGUUUUGGGGAACCAUCCACGUUAUUUAUUUGGACAAUUUGGUUGAAAGAAACCCAAAUGUUCCGAUAUAGAAACUUUUUAAAAAUGGGUCAAAUUUGACGCGAGGAAAACAGGAGGGUUAAGCAUAUUAUCAGUACUCUCCAGUACUCACUAAUACUCUCUAAUACUCUCCAGUACUCUCUAAUACUCUCUAAUACUCUCCAGUACUCUCUAAUACUCUCUAAUACUCUCCAGUACUCUCUAAUACUCUCCAGUACUCUCCAGUACUCUCUAAUACUGAUACCAGCGUUUUAGGGAGUAUCGGAGGCUUUCUGAUACUUCCAGUACUCUCUAAUACCGAUACCGGUAAUACCAGCAGUAACCGGGGGUUACCGAUACAGAACUAAAGGAACUUUAUUAGAACAGAUAAAGAAUGCCAUUAACCGCGAGUUAACUAUGGACAACCAUGCGUUAGUUUGCGAUGAGAUAUUUGAAACUGUCUCGGGACCCGUUUGGUUCAUCUCGCGGCCCGUCGGGGGUCCGGAGCCUCGGGUUGGGAACCCUUGGUGUUAUUUGCUGGAGGGGUCGAUGACGCGGCCCAUGGCCAGCACGGAGCGGCUCGCCGCCUCGUACACGAUGAAGAGGAAAGGUCUGUUGACCGUCAGGCGGGGGGGAAGAGUGGAGAACACGCUGGCUCCGCCUCCCGCUGUGAUGUCAUCAUUCUCCGCCACCGACACACGAGACUUGUGAUGAACCUGGAAAACACAAAACUCACCGUUAGCAACGACCACACCGUUAGCAACGAGCUUCAGAACUCACCGUUAGCAACAAGCUUUAGAGCUGGGGUGG
This 3937-nucleotide long non-coding RNA is filed under the name Sander lucioperca (pikeperch). RNAcentral's name for it is "lncRNA (ENSSLUG00000014505.1)". The record is from RNAcentral. Lineage: Eukaryota; Metazoa; Chordata; Actinopteri; Perciformes; Percidae.